This is an RNA transcript of Folsomia candida, 3989 nucleotides long. It is a transcript of the gene named keratin-associated protein 10-3, with no coding region annotated. The transcript is spliced from 8 exons. The record is from RefSeq and is a predicted model, not a curated record. NCBI's taxonomy places the organism in Eukaryota, Metazoa, Arthropoda, Collembola, Entomobryomorpha, Isotomidae.
GUAAUUUGGAUCAGCUGUUGGUACAAGUUGUGCUCUUUUAUCUGUACAUUCGAGCUUGGUUGAAAUAUAAGUACUUGCUUUUUGUUGUCAUUGUUCAUCUUCAUCUCCAUUGUCAUGUCACUGCUUCUACCAAUUUGCAGCUACGAACUGCCCACGUUGAACAAUUGUGAUGAAACGUCCUCCCCCCUCGAAAUCCAGAGGGUGGAAUUUGAAAGUGAGGACGUGCAUGGCCCGGAAUUGUGUCCUCAUUUCUUUUGGAAUACAUUUUUGCUUAAAAACCGGCCUUGUCUUGUCAAAGGACCAGCAAGAGUCAUGAAGGAGUGGCCAGCAAUGCGAAAUUGGGUCACUUCCUCUGGGGAAAUCAAUUUUGAAUACCUCAUAGACGCUUAUCGAGAUGUGCAAGUGCCAGUCACCGAGAUCACGAAGGACAUUUCGAUGGAAUAUGGGGGAAUGAACUGCACCACAAUGUCAUUUCAGAACUAUGUUCAAUAUUUCUUAAAAUACAGAGAAAGCGAUUACUCGGCAUCAAUGCCGUGCCUUUAUCUCAAGGACUGGCACAUUCUAGUGAAUCAUGGCAAUGAUGAAACUGGUACUCGAACGCCAGAAAAACCAUAUGAGACACUCCCCAUUUUUGCCUCUGACUGGCUUAAUGAAACGUCUAGUAAAGAUGAUGAUUAUCGUUUUGUCUAUUUGGGUCCAAAGGGAUCCUGGACCCCACUCCACGCCGACGUGUACGGCUCAUUCAGUUGGUCAGUUAAUAUAGCUGGACAAAAGAAAUGGCAUUUAUACCCACCAGGAAAUGAACGCCGAUUUCAGAUGAGCAACCGUCAAUCUCAUCCCCAAUACAAUUCUGAAAAUGCAGGCAUUGAAGGUCAAGACUUUAUUGAAGUAGUUCAACAAGCGGGAGAGACUAUUUUCGUCCCCUCGGGUUGGUUUCAUGUUGUUUGGAACGUUUCGGACGUGAUUUCUAUAAACCAUAACUGGUUUAAUGGAGCCAACAUUUGUUACAUUUGGCAUCAACUGCAGAAUGCACUAGCAGAGGUCAAGCAAGAGAUUGCAGAAUGGACGAGUCUGAAGGACUGUGCAGAGGGGUUUGAAAUCAACGAUCAAAAGCAGUGCCAACUCAUCUUGAAAGCAAAUCAUGGGAUGAAUUACAGUUCUUUUUGUGACCUCAUUCUCAAUAUUUGGGAGAAACGUAUGGACAGACUGAAAGACUUUGACGACCGGCCGGAGGAGGAGGAGAGGGUCUUGUUGGACCUGGCCAUUUUGAGACAUCUCAUCAACCAUCAUUUGCUCAACGACGUGGAUCUCGCCUCCGAAUAUAAACAGAAGUUUAAUUUUGCAAUUUCACAACAACUACCACGCAAGAUUAUUUGACACUUUAUCAAUCUAUAAGGUUACGACAAAUGCCCGAGUUACAAAUGAAUUUUCAUUUUUAAAUUGUCGUGGGUUACAGUUUAUUUUUUUAAUAUUUUGGCUGGAGAAUUGGUUUUUCGUCCAUGGGAGAAAAACCAAUUUUAAAAUAAUUUUAAAAAUGAAUAUUUUAUUUAUAACUCGACCAUUUGUCGCAACCGUUAAGGGUAACUAGGCACUAAAUGUCAAGCAAUCGUGACUACCACGAGAAUAGAUUUUGAUUUUGUUGGUUGGUUCUCCUGCCAACGCAUUUUAUGAUAGUGGCGAAAUUGUGUCUCGAGCUGUAAUUGGUUGAUUACUUUUUGUAACAACGUUUCUCAUUGGUUAAAUUUUCCUGGCGACCUUUUCGCCGAGAGUAUAAAAGGUCAGACUCAAAAUGCGAGCCCUUCAGUAGCUUCCAGGAAUUGCAGCCAUCAUCAUCGUCCUUCUCUCUCCUCUUCCACCUUCCAAAUUCUUGUUCUCAACUCCCAACCUCUUCCCAAAUUUCCAGUCGACAUGUCCUGCUGUGGUGGAUCAUCUGGUGGCCGAGGUCAGAACUGUUGCAAUUUGUACAGCUUAAUGCAAGACCCGUGUUAUCAAAAGUUGUGUUGCAACCAAAGGCGGCAGGUGUGCUAUACCCCAUUUAUUCCGAGCUACGAACGGUGUGAAGAGGAGGUUAAAAUGGGAAAGCUGCUUGGUUUUGAUUAUCAAAGAAAGUGGUUCUGUGAACGUAACGUAUAUUUAUGCAAGGUCUAUGGACAAUGCGGAGGUAACGCCCGUUCAUCCUGUGGUACGCCGCCCUGUGCCCCCCGCGUCCCCAGUGUUGUGGAUCACCAUGUUCCAUCAGUCCGUGUUGUCCUGCACCCAGGCUGAGCUUGUGUCAACCAGAUCCAUGUGGCCCAUGUUGUGCACCCAUGCCACCUUGUCCUCCUCGGUGUCCACCCAAUCCAGUGUUCCCAAAAGUAAUCCUCAAUAUCCUCAUCACCAUUAUCUUUUCCCCUCAGAAUUAUCUCACAGGCGUCAAUUGCAUGGUAGGUGUGUUGUCCCCCGCCUUGCUGCCCAGAUCCUUGCAUCAAGCCCAGUCGAAAGUGCUUCAUCCCCCCUCCGUGCUGUCCCAAACCAUGUUGCAAGAAGAUGGCCUUGGUCGUGAGCUCUCCCAUCUGCCCUCCAAAAUGUUGUCCACCGCUACCAUGUUGUGAACCACAAAAUUGUCCCGAUCCCUGUGCCAGAGGUCAAUCUUCAUGUUGUGGCCCUUGCUGUCCAUCACCAGCCAUGAUUGGUACAACAUUCUCAUCAUCACAAUUCAUACAUUCUUGAUCAUUAAAAUGGCUUGUUCAUAACUUGCUUACAUUCAUAUUAUUGGUAACUAAAUCCUGGGAUUUUGUUAGUUCGGCCUCUUCGAAACAACUGCUGUCCUCCUCCACCCAGAAUCCCAAACAAUCAGCAGUGCCCGAUCCCUUGGUAAAAGCGAUUCAUCGCAUAUAUAUUGAAUCCAUUCAUUUCCAUACGUCACGGUCAGCAUGGCUCUCAUACAACUGUAUUUCUGUGCGUAGUUGCAAUCCUCUCCCACCUUGCUGCGUAAUAGUGAAGCCGUGUCAGCCCAGGUGCCCCCCUUCACCUUGUUGUCCACCACCCACGCUUUGUGCUCCCGCAUGUCCUCAACCUGACCCAAGGUCUGCUCCUCUCCUCCUUCCUAAUUCCAUUGAUCAACGCAUCUCCCAAAGGGUCACCUUCAUUAACCUCUCUGCUGCUUUCUCUGUUAGGUGUUGCCCAAAGCCCAUGGUGGUGAGCUUCAAGUGUCCGACUUCCGUUAGUCCCAUGGCACCGCGAGAGGACUGUCCUCAGCAGGUCUCGUGGCCAUCCCCUCCCAAAAUCGACAUGUGCUGUUCCAGUAACUGUCCUCCCAAGGAGCGCGACAUGUGUUUCAUGACGGUGCGACCAAUGCCACCAUCUUGCUGCCCACCCAAAGGCAAUUGCGGAGGAAUAUCGGGUGGUAACGGUUCUCGCCAAUGUUGUAAACCAAGAUGGAAUGGCAGUCCGAUUACCAAGUGUGCAUCUCAAUCUGUCGACUUUUCCGUCCCCCCACUCGCAUCUCUCUCGCAAAGAUACAACUGUUGGGUGUGUAGUGUCCCCCCAGCCACUGACAGCAAUUUGUGCCCCUCUCGAUUUUCAUCGCGUGUAGAGAAUUCUGCUUGUCAAAUGGUGGCCGUGAUGAGUCCGAUUGAGUCGGCUGGAGAUUGUUGCGUCUAAUCAACUGAGGUUUCAUCAAUUGCUGGCAAUUUGUAUGCAUAUUUGUGUCUAUAAUCAUGCAUUUAUUUGUAACCAUCUCUUCCAAGGUGGUCGUUGCUGCUAGUUCUGUAACUGACCAGUGACGAGACGAUAGGAUGUGAUGCGAUAUGGACCCACACCCCACGCAGGACAUCAAAAUUACCGGUAUUGAAGUAAUAUAAAUAUCCCCAGUUUACUCUAAUGCUAUUCCCAUUUCUCUUGCUUAUCUCGAUGUAAAUUUUCCCUUCAAAUUUCAAUUGUGCUAAAAUUCAAUCAUGCUACAAAUUUAUUUUCGACAAAAUAAAUAUAAAUCACCAUACAAUUCAGUA